Molecule: ribosomal RNA, 1562 nt
Filed under: metagenome
Description: bacterial LSU rRNA
Rfam family: Bacterial large subunit ribosomal RNA
Source: RNAcentral
AUAGAAGUGAGAAUGCCGGAAUGAGUAGCGCGAAUGCAGUGAGAAUCUGCAUGGCCGAAAGCCUCAGGUUUCUGGAGGAAGGUUCGUCCGCUCCAGGUUAGUCGGGAGCUAAGGUGAGGCCUAACGGCGUAGCCGAUGCACAGACGGUAGAGAUUCCGUCACCACCAAAAGAGUUAAGCACAGGGACACAUUUGAAGUCUCGGAGCCGGGUGUUGGUUCCGGUAGCGAUCGAGGGAAAUUAGUACCGAAGUCCGGGAUGGAAGAUGGCGAGAAAAGCUGUGUGUAUUUCUGCGGUGCCCGUACCGCAAACCGACACAGGUAGGUAGGAAGAAGAUUCUAAGGCCAACGGGAGAAGGGUUGUUAAGGAACUCGGCAAAUUGACCCCGUAACUUCGGGAGAAGGGGUGCUCCAGAGAUGGAGCCGCAGAGAAUCGGCCCAAGCAACUGUUUACCAAAAACACAGGUUUGUGCUAAAUCGAAAGAUGACGUAUACGAGCUGACGCCUGCCCGGUGCUGGAAGGUUAAGAGGAGAUGUGCAAGCAUUGAAUCGAAGCCCCAGUGAACGGCGGCCGUAACAAUAACGGUCCUAAGGUAGCGAAAUUCCUUGUCAGGUAAGUUCUGACCCGCAUGAAAGGCGUAAUGAUUUGGGCACUGUCUCGACAGCCCGCCCGGCGAAAUUGUAGUACCGGUGAAGAUGCCGGUUACCCGCGACAAGACGGAAAGACCCCAUGGAGCUUUACUGUAGCCUAAUAUUGGGUUUCGAUGUUGCAUGCACAGGAUAGAUGGGACACAGGGAAGUGAUCGCUUUGGCGGUCAUGGAGUGGCCGUUGGGAUACCAUCCUUGCGAUAUUGGAAUUCUAACCUGCGCCUUUGAAUCAAGGCGGGGGACAUUGUUAGGUGGGCAGUUUGACUGGGGCGGUCGCCUCCUAAAGAGUAACGGAGGCGUUCAAAGGUUCGCUCAGCUUGAACGGAAAUCAAGCAAAAGAGUGCAAACGCAGAAGCGAGCCUAACUGCGAGACUGACGGGUCGAGCAGUAACGAAAGUUGGAGUUAGUGAUCCGGUGGUAUGUGAGUGGAAAUGCCAUCGCUCAACGGAUAAAAGUUACCCUGGGGAUAACAGGCUGAUCUCCCCCAAGAGUCCACAUCGACGGGGAGGUUUGGCACCUCGAUGUCGGCUCAUCGCAUCCUGGGGCUGUAUUCGGUCCCAAGGGUUUGGCUGUUCGCCAAUUAAAGCGGUACGCGAGCUGGGUUCAGAACGUCGUGAGACAGUUCGGUCCCUAUCUGUCGUGGGCGCAGGAUAUUUGAUGGGAGCUGUUCCUAGUACGAGAGGACCGGAGCGGACGUACCUCUGGCGCACCAGUUGUUCUGCCAAGAGCAUAGCUGGGCAACUAUGUACGGAUCGGAUAAACGCUGAAAGCAUCUAAGCGUGAAGCCGACCCAAAGAUAAGAUAUCCCACUGAUUCGAUCAGGUAAGAUCCCUUGAAGACUACAAGGUUGAUAGGCACAAUGUGUAAGUGGAGUGAUCCAUUCAGCAAGCGUGUACUAAUAGAUCGAGGGCUUGACC